UCCGGAAAUUUAUGGGCGUAAUGGGUUCGCCAGCCGAUCCUAAGGUUCUGAAUGGGAAGGCCCCCGCUCCACCGGGGAGGGUCAUUGGAAACUGGGGAACCUGGAUUGCAGAGAGGAGAGAGUGGAUUUCACCUGGUAGGCGGGUGAAUUCCUAGAGAAUGGGGAAGGAACCACCAAUUGCCGAGGCGGACUUUUCUGUUCUGUACUUACGGUGAAGACGCGAAGCCGUGGGGAACCGACCAGGAUAGGUUACCUGGUUAGUCCACGCGUUAACGGAGAAUUGUUAAGUGUUAGGGGGUUUCGGCCCUUAAUUGUGGCAGCAAAGCCAUUAACCAUUCGCCUUGGGAAGUCGGUUGCCAGGAUGAAAAUUAAAAGAAAUGGAGGGGGGCCGCCCCAACCGUGGGACCAUUUGGUUAAUUUGGAAGCAACGGGAGGACCUUUACCAGUUCUGACCUUCUUUGGCCAUCCCAGAGAUUAGGGGUUCCCUUUGGGGGCCGGAUGACCAGUGGGGCCAUGUUGUUGUUCAGUUGGGUUCUGGGGAUGUGGGGUUAAUUCCGCCACGAAGGCCAACCCUGGUUUUUGGUGGCCGCCUUUCAGUGGGCCAUUUUAGGGGGACGGCGGGGGCAAAACGGGGGAAAGGGGGGAAGAAGUUCAAAUCUUCAUCCCCCUAAUGCCUGGGGUAACCCACGGGUUCCAAGGGCCGGACCAAAGGCCAGGGAAGCCGGGGGGUUAACCCAUUCCCCCAAUUUGUUUUCCAUUUGGAUUGCCGUUUGCAAAUUGGAUGGGGGGAAGCGGGAAUGGUUGUUAUUGGGGAUUCACCAGGCCCCGUGAAAUAGUUUCCCGGCCUUGGUCCCCCCCCCCGGCCCCACCAGAGAAGUUUAACCACCGAAAUUGGGAAGAACCCUUAGGAGCCAGCCGCCGAAGUGACGGGGCUCGAAUAUAUUGG
This 946-nucleotide ribosomal RNA is filed under the name Bacillus sp. RE2(2011). RNAcentral's name for it is "partial 16S ribosomal RNA". It matches the Rfam family "Bacterial small subunit ribosomal RNA", at positions 543 to 1533 of the family's 1533-position model. Lineage: Bacteria; Bacillati; Bacillota; Bacilli; Caryophanales; Bacillaceae. The record is from RNAcentral.